AAAAUCAAAUAUUUAUCUCAUCUCUACUGUGAUGAUUAUUAUGCAGGAUUAAAAUAUAACAAGAUACAGCUCAGUCUUUGAAAUAUUUGCACUAUAAUAGAGAAGCUUAUUUGAUGAAGAUAGGGAUAACAUAAUGUUAUCACAUGCUCACUAUAUGAGAGGGCUGACCUGGAAGGGUUCCGGACAGCAUGAGGUAGGUGAUUGGAUUGUGGAUUGUUUAGGAAAGCAAGCACCACUUAUGGAAAGAAACAAAAGUAUUCCGAACAGAAGAUGACUAAAAACUCUCUUCCGAUGCUAUCUGGGACCUGCCUAACCUGUCCUAUAUGAUACUCUAAGUGACAGCAAUGUGUGCUUUAGAAAGUGCAGGUGAAGAUGCAGUUGCACUUCAGUAAUCACCUCCUGUCUACAAACAAACCGCACGAGGGUUGCGGGAGCCAAUGCAAAUUUCCCAUUUGUAUGAUUACAGCUGCUGCAGGAGGGGUACAACUCAGGAAACUCGUUGGUGGAUCUUGAUACCUGGCUGAAGUGGAAUUUUUGACACCAUUUUUGAAAGGAUCAGGUGCCUAUUCUGCUGAACAGUGGGUUUCAGAUUUUGAACCAGCAGCAGGACUCCUUAAGACCCAGGCUGAUGUUCUGAGAGCAUGUGCCCCGUCAACUGAUACGGAAGCUCCUAUGAUUGCAAGACCCUGUGUGAGGCUGCUUGUAGAGCCCCAAGAUAAAUAUGGUUCCAUGACUGCUCCUCUGAUGCCUAUUUCCAGUCCCAUAUGGGUCACUAAAUGGUAUGAUCUGGGUCUGAACCAAACAGAACCAGACAAUGACAUGACUACAGUUAAUAUUCCAUAUUUAUGCCAAAAUAUUCUAAUGUGUUAGGCCAGAAAAAAAAAAAAAAGAAAAAUCAAGCCUUAUUUAACACUGUGAUGAGAAUCCAUAUGGUGUGUAAAACAGAUAAGAAUUGGUUUGAAUCACGAGUUACCAGCUACCACCUACAUAAUACUGAGUAGUACACACCUCAUUUCCUCAUCAAUGAAAUGGGCAUAAUAGAAUAAGUGACUCAUUAACAGUUGUGAGAAUGGAAUGAGGUGCUCUAAAGGGUUUUGCACAUUACUUACCGUACAGGAGGAAGGAACUAUGCAUGAGAACCAUCGUUAUUUUGGAAGGACACAUACCUAGUAGGAAAAAGUAGGCAUGGAAUCAGCCACUUGGGUUCAAAUCCAGGCACUAUCAUGGUAGUAAAACAUUUGAGUCUGUUUUUGCCGAGGAGAAAUGAAAGUAGCCAAACUUAUUCUGUGGGUUGUACAAUUAUUGAAUUACAUGAGAAGGUAACUGGCUCUUGGUAGGUACGUAAGACAGAGGAAACUAGUAUUUAUUUCAAUGUUUCCUUCAUUUAUUUUGCAUAACUUGGUGGAUCAGUGUGAUGAAGAGAGUCACUACUGUCAGAGGCUACCUUCCUCACCUUUAACAUAGGGAAUGUGAGAUUUGAUGACUUCUAAAGUAGUUUACAGCCUCUAAAUCUUUACAGACACAUUUAAGGAUUUUUAAGGAAUUAGAUGAAUUAAAGAAUCCUAGCAUAACUAAAAAAUACCUUCUGCCUGGCAGUUUUCUGGACAUUCUGCCUUACCUAAAGUGGUAAAUUAAAGAGUGACUUUGAUGGAGAAAUGUAUUUCUUCUUCAUCCCUGCUUAGUUAAAGCCCCUUAUUUGAUUUGUUUUGAUAUUGUUGCCUUUUAUUAUUUUCCAGUUAUUUCUACCCCUCCUUUCUCCAAAAUGAAAUACUCAAAAGUUAAUUCCGUGUUUGGUGUCACUAGUGAACAAUUUAGUUUGUUAGUUUAGAACUGCAAUAAAGUCUCUGUAAAGAUAAAAAUAAAAUUUGAAAAUCCAUCACGGAAAAUAAUUGAUUUUGUGCUUCAAAACAUGACAGUUCUGCAAAGGAAUAUGAUGAUAAUUUACUUUCUGUCACUUCCAAAGUUAACUGAAGGGAGAGAAACACACAAAAAACAUUUUUCUGACAGGCAAACAGGCAAAUUUUGGACAAAACUGCAGGGCAGGGUGAUAAAAAGAAAAAAGAAAUCUUAAAAAAGCUGAGCUUCCAAUCACCUCCCACCAGUCUCUGUGAAGGAUGACUUCAGUCCCUUUCUUAACUAAUUCUGUCACUGUAAAAUCCUACAGUCAUUCUUCCACACAUAAAGGACAAAUAAGCUCAAGAGGAGGAUAUAGAUGCUUUCAGUUUUAACUAUUCACCAAUGGUGGAAAAGGCAGAAUGCCUAAGCUAUGUCUUCGUGGCCAAUAGGAUAGCUCUGUAUCUCUCACAUGACUCACUGCUCCUGUCUUUCACAUGGGCUGUAAUUUAGUUCAAUUCAGAACUGCAGAUAGUACAGCUUCCACAGGAGCAAGGGAUGUCUGAGCACAAGUGGCUGAGUUCCGAGUGACUUUAUGAAGCACUUUCUACCUUCCUCUCCGGCAUGAAAACAGGGAUUCUGCACCUGCAUCAUGGACAGUCUGGCAAAAGCCUCUGCUCUGCCUCCGGGGACAAGAAACUAGAGCAAAUAACCGUUUUGAAAUUAGAUCCUGGCAACAUUACCAACAAUCAAUGAUGGAAACCGAAGGCAGAUUGAUUUAAAUCUUCAAUGACAGUUGUACAGAAGUUGAAGAAACAUGUCAUGUUUCCAAAGAAAAGUGAGUAGCUUGGUUGGUGGUACCCUAAAAUUAGGGCAUCAUUAAGGUACGUCAUUUCUUUUAGUUCAAUCGAAGUGCUUUGCUGUUUCAAUUGUGGAGAAUUUCUUCUUCUUUUUUUCAAUCUCUCUCUCUUCCUCUUCUUCCUCUCAUUAGUAGAUGUCUUUUAUAAUUGAUGUCAUUUACUGUCCUUUCAUCAAAUGUAUGCCACAUCACUUAGGCGAACCAGCAGACAGGGCACCAAAAUACACAUUAGAGGAGACUGGCUUCCAUGAGACGCUUCAACUGUCUCAUCGGGGCACUUGUAAUAAGCAUCUUGGUGCCACUGAAUGCAAUGCUGUAUUCAAAUAAUAGCUUUCAUCUUCACUCUUUUUAAAUAUAAAAGUAAACCUUGAAGCCCUUUGAAGGACCUAACCAAACAACAUACCUAUGAAAAUAGAUCAGUAAGGCUUUGAGAAACAUUCUUAAGUAAAAUCUGUAAAGCAUCUUUGCAUUUUUUUUCAAGAAAGACCUCCAGGUAAAUGAUGGCUUUUAAUAAGACAUAUGACAAUCACAAUUACAAGAAUCAUUAAUGUGUGUCCUGUGUGCUAUUUUAUGUUCCCAGCAGGAUAUAUCUUUUCUCAUCUAGGGUUUCCAGGGCUGUCUACUGUUCUCUAUGUGUAAAACGUAUUUAAGUGUUCCCCCAAUGCUGCAAUAAUGUUGAAACAAAACAAAACAAAAACGAAAAAACCUUUGUCAAGUGGUCAGACAGACUGGAACUAGAGGAUUAUAGGUAAGAGAGAUAAAAUGAAGGGUUGAAAGCUAUAAUUUCUAUUUAUGUGGUGGCAACCAAAUCAGCUGUUGGAGUCAGGCAAUUUAAAGAUGUGGCUACUGGAGCUCAGAGUCUGGGAAGAAGACACUUCUGCGUCUGACAGUGAAUCAGGCUCCCAGUUUUGAAGAUGUACUGUAGGUGAUUCCUCGCUGAAUCCAUUUCCCACUUAGUUUCUAUUCUCCGACCCUGUGUCUCCACACUUUCCACUUGAUUUUAUCUCUUUGACAAUUCUAUAUUUUACUUUCCUUCCUCUCAUUCCCCUUUUCCCAGUUUUUUUUUUUUUUUUUUUUUUAACCUGUAGUUUCUUGGCCUCUGACUACUGUUCCACGCUGGAUGUCCCCAGAAAACAGAGUAUGUUUAGAAAGGAGACAGUGCAUCUCAGAAGUCCCCUGUCCACUAGUUCAUGUUUGAAGGUGUUGUGCUCUAUGGGUAUCAGAAACAUUUGUAGAUGAAAUAAUUUGAGGCAUGAAUUUUGAUAGAAGCAGGAUCACCAAUGAAAUGAUAAAUGUAGGUACCUGUUUACCUUGCAUAAUAUUCACUAUGAUCUUGAGAAUUUCAAUGUAUAAUUUGUCUUUACUCUUAUUUUUCAUUAGAAUUAACAGAAUCUCAGAGCUGGUAGAAAGUAUAGAAACUGUAUAUACAACUCUCAUAUUCAGAUGAAGAAAAUGACGCACAGAAAAUCAACUGUCCUAAGCCAUUCAGCUUGUCUAUAAGUGCUGUUGGCUUAAUUAUAGUUUUGCAUAUAUUUAGGCGAAGGAAAUACUUUCUCAGAAACUGGUUAGAACUGUUUGAGAAGAAAUAUAAUCAUCAAAAUAUAUCCACAGUAAAAUGUAACCAUCCAUCAUUCAACAUAGGCAAGAAUAUGUAUUGAAUUGCCUGAGUGUAUUAUUCAUAUAGCAAAACUUACUUGAAUUGCUAAUAAAUCUCCUGAUCUCUGUAUAUGUAUAAAAUAUAUAAACCCAACCAAAUUCUGUACAUAAAUAAAUAUUAUUUUUGGAUACCAGUACAAUCCCUAUUUCACUUUUGUGUAUUCCAGUUAAUUAUUACUCACAGUUCUAUAGUUUUAACCAGAACAAAGGGAUUAUCCAGAAGAAAAGAAGGUAAGCUAUUUCAUCAGUUUUGUUGGAAAUCAGAAGUUUUUUUUUUUUUUCUAUUAUUAGCUUUGCAUUCUUAAACAAGAAAAAAGAAGGAAAAAAACUCUCAUCUUCUCAUUCAUAAGAAUUCCCAUAAAAAUUGUCAGUGGUGAGGUGGGGAGGAAAUGCAUUACCAAUAAACAGCUAUAUCCUACUAUUGGGGACACUCAGUUUUAUUCUACAGAAAAUAUAGUUUGUUCUUGAAGAUGUAAUAGACAUAAUAUUUUUAAAACCAACAUAUUAAAUAUGCCAGUAAAUAUUUUUGUUAAACAAGGCUUUUAAAAUUUAAAUUACACCCCUAAACUGGCUUUCUAGUUUUUCUAGAGAAAUAAAGCAAUUUUAAAGGAAAUAGCCACUCAGAUUAGUAUUUCAAAUAUCAUACAAAGUGUAUGUGGUGAUAUUACUGAAAAUGAGGAUUUUUGAAAACUAAAAAAGCAAAAAGUCAUUGCUCUGAAAGCCUUCAAGACUGCCUUAAGGUUAACAAUGCAAGUCUUAGAUGUAUUUAGGUAAUCAUAAUUUAAUUAGCUUUCUAAUUCUAAACAUAUUUUGACUCAAAUGUUUAAAAUAUGGUCAUCUAUUCAGUUAAAGAUGAACAUUUUGAUGAAAUAGCAAUACUUAAAGGGUUCUCCAUUUCCACAAUUAAGUGCUACCUAUUAUUUAUUCAGAGCAUAUGUUUCAGUCUCAAAACACUGAAGACACAUCUCAGUGAAAUAAAAAUAAUCUUUUUUUUUUUCUUUUUAAGAAAUCAGAAUAUGUGGCAGUCGGCAGGCUUAAUUUGUAUUUUAUGGGCUCCAAAUUCAGAUGAAUAUUAUCAAGAUCUGAAUUGUCUCAAUGGCUGUCAUAAUUCAAAUAAUAAUGUCAAAAAUAUAAACUAGUAUCAUAUAAUUAAUUUGUAUAUAUGGAAAAUUGAAUUCUCUUAGCCAAAGAAAGUAGAGGGAAAUCAUCACAAAGGAGAGUGAACAUGACUAUUUUUUCCUGUUGUUUCUAUAGACUUCUCUGUAACAAUUGAUAUGAAAAUAUCAUCAGAAUUUGUAGGUGUGCAGUAUCUGUGGUAUUAAUAAAGGUAUCUAUAAUCAAAUAUAGCAGAAAUAAUUAGGCUUCACGCCAACUGCCUUUCCUAGAAUCUUCAGGGACAGGAAGUGCAGCUGUGUAUCACCUGCCCAUAUUCUACAAAUAGCACUGAAGGAUAUAACUCAAUGAAACUUGAAACCAGAUUGCACAAAAAUACAUUAUUCCCAAUUUUUUAUUUUUUAUAUUUCUAGAUAAAUUAUAAAUUCACAGCAACAUUUGUCUAUUGUUAUCUUUAUGUUGCAAAUUAUACUAAAUUUUGAGUGACAUCUUUAGACAAGGAAGCCUAGAAACAUCCUUUGGCUAAAAAAUAAAAACAUCAUAAUGUACACUAGAGAAAACAUUUCUAGAAAAUAUACCUUUCAUUGUGCCUUUAAAAAGUAAAAGGCACAAUGGAAGGUAUAUUUUGAUCAACAGCUUAUAUUGUUUAGAAAUUUGACUGUGAUUUAGUAUUUUGUCAACUAAUUUUCAAUCACAAGAAAAUUUAGAAAGUCAUGAAAUAGAAAUAAAAGUCUUAUUAGGAAUAGUAAUUAUAUAGAUAGUGAAAUGACUAAUUUUUAUAAGGAGUAGUAAUUUCAUAAUGUAAUAACUUCCUUUUCAGAAAAAGAAAGUGAUUAACAAAGCUAAACAUUCACACAAGGCAAUGUACCACAUAAUUCAAAAUGCCAGUGCAAAAAUAUUAGUUAAUAAAUAAAGAUUCAAUGCUGGUCUGUAAUAAUUAGUCAUAGUUUCUGCACUUAGAAGGAAAGCUGUCCCUGGGAGUUGAGAAUUAGAGUCGAAACAGAGAUUUUGAGUAUAAGAAAAGUGAAUUUCAUUCAUGUUGCAGGGUUAUACUGCUAUGAUGGAAGGCUUUCAUUUUUCAAGUAGGAAACAUGGAAAUUACAGUAACUAUGGCCAAUUUAUAUUGGCCUAGAGAACACUAUUUUUCUCUGGGCUUGAAUUUCUCAACAGGUGCCACUAUUGAUAUUUUGGACCAGAUAAUUCUUUGUCCUGAGGAAAUUUGCUGUGCAUUUGAGGAUUUUUAUCAGGAUUAUUGACCUCUCCCCACUAGAUGCCAAUAGUACCCCCUCCCACUAUGGUGAUAUCCAUAUAUUCCCAAAUGUUCCCUAGAGAACAAAAUCUGCUUAGACUAUUUGUCUAGGCAAGUUUGCUUUCUUCAUUUAACUUUAUGCAAAAUGAGUUUGAUUGGUUCUUUGAAUUAACAUUAAUAGGAAUGUUGCACAGGGAAAGUUUAUGUAGUAAGUUAAGAAGAGCUCUACAAUGCAAACAUUUCUGCAGGAUAUAAAAAUAAGAAUAUCAAUAGUAUAUUCAUCUCUUGAAAUAUUUGCUAUACAACACAUGUUGAAUGUUGAAAGAUGUUGAAUGUAGGCUCAUAUUUUGUGCAUUAUUUGAAAAUUUGCAAUGUAAAUAAGGUAAAUAGAUGCAAAAUGUUUGCCUUUGGGCAUGAAAAAGUUUUCUUGUGUGUUAUAAAUACGGUAAUAGGUUUUUAGAGGUAACUUUCUUUGGCAGUGAACAAAACAAGACCCUACUAUGAUGAUUCUACCUGGAGCUGAUUUUAACCGAAGAGUAGCCUCCACUGUGCCUUUCCAUAAAUGUUGGUUUUGUCCAUGUAUUAAAGCACGGAUUUCUUGGGAGAUGACAAAUAUUGAGAGUGAAAGAUAAAAUCUGAAAAGAACCUGGGAAAUCAUCAUUAAAUUGAGCUGAUAAUCAUGUUUAAAUAUGGACUGUCAACUUUUUUUUAACUAAUGAUGGGAUGGUAGAGAAGCUAUUAACUUAAUACACCUCUGUGUGUGUGUGUGUGCGCGCGCGUGUUUGUUUUGGUGGAAAUAAAUAAGAAAGGGAAAAAUAACAGUUACAUGGAAUAUAGUUACAUGGAAGCUUAGGAGGCAAGUCAAUAAAAGAGAAAUAUUAGAGUAGUAUGAAACCUUAAGCUUUACACAAU
Macaca mulatta (Rhesus monkey) is the source of this 7622-nucleotide long non-coding RNA. RefSeq lists it as uncharacterized. The record is from RefSeq and is a predicted model, not a curated record. NCBI's taxonomy places the organism in Eukaryota, Metazoa, Chordata, Mammalia, Primates, Cercopithecidae.